Molecule: ribosomal RNA, 429 nt
Filed under: Bacteroidota bacterium
Lineage: Bacteria; Pseudomonadati; Bacteroidota
Description: Bacteroidetes bacterium partial 16S ribosomal RNA
Rfam family: Bacterial small subunit ribosomal RNA
Source: RNAcentral
UAGGGAAUCUUCGGCAACGGGGGGAACCCUGACCGAGCAACGCCGCGUGAGUGAAGAAGGUUUUCGGAUCGUAAAGCUCUGUUGUUAAGGAAGAACGAGUGUGAGAAUGGAAAGUUCAUACUGUGACGGUACUUAACCAGAAAGGGACGGCUAACUACGUGCCAGCAGCCGCGGUAAUACGUAGGUCCCGAGCGUUGUCCGGAUUUAUUGGGCGUAAAGCGAGCGCAGGCGGUUAGAUAAGUCUGAAGUUAAAGGCAGUGGCUCAACCAUUGUAGGCUUUGGAAGCUGUUUAACUUGAGUGCAGAAGGGGGGAGUGGAAUUCCAUGUGUAGCGGUGAAAUGCGUGGAUAUAUGGAGGAACACCGGUGGCGAAAGCGGCUCUCUGGUCUGUAACUGACGCUGAGGCUCGAAAGCGUGGGGAGCGAACAGG